GACGAACGCUGGCGGCGUGCUUAACACAUGCAAGUCGAACGGGAUCCAUCCCAGCUUGCUGGGAGAAGAUCUAGUGGCGAACGGGUGCGUAACACGUGGGCAACCUACCUCGGAGAUCGGGAUAACAGCUGGAAACGGCUGCUAAUACCGGAUAACCCUCUCGGAUCGCAUGGUCCGAGAGGCAAAUGGUCCGCCGCUCCGGGAUGGGCCCGCGGCCUAUCAGCCUGUUGGUGAGGUAACAGCUCACCAAGGCGACGACGGGUAGCCGACCUGAGGGGGUGAUCGGCAACACUGGGACUGAGACACGGCCCGGACGACUACGGGAGGGAGCAGUGGGGAAUUUGGCGCAAUGGGAGAAAGCCUGACGCAGCAACGCCGCGUGAGCGAAGAAGGCCUUCGGGUCGUAAAGCUCUGUUGUUAGGGAAGAACAAGUACGAGAGUAACUGCUCGUACCUUGACGGUACCUAACCAGAAAGCCACGGCUAACUACGUGCCAGCCGCCGCCGUAA
This 509-nucleotide ribosomal RNA is filed under the name uncultured bacterium. RNAcentral describes it as "partial 16S ribosomal RNA". It matches the Rfam family "Bacterial small subunit ribosomal RNA", at positions 28 to 523 of the family's 1533-position model. The record is from RNAcentral.